RNAcentral lists this ribosomal RNA (323 nucleotides) under uncultured eukaryote. RNAcentral describes it as "partial 18S ribosomal RNA". It matches the Rfam family "Eukaryotic small subunit ribosomal RNA", at positions 1470 to 1796 of the family's 1831-position model. The record is from RNAcentral.
CCCCUAGAUGUUCUGGGCCGCACGCGCGCUACACUGAACAGUUCAACAAGUCUUAACCUUGGCCGAUAGGUCUGGGUAAUCUUUGAACGCUGUUCGUGAUUGGGAUAGACCUUUGCAAUUAUGGGUCUUCAACGAGGAAUUCCUAGUAAACGCAGAUCAUCAAUCUGCAUUGAUUACGUCCCUGCCCUUUGUACACACCGCCCGUCGCACCUACCGAUUGGAUGGUCCGGUGAAGCCUCGGGAUUGUGGCGGUUGCCUUUAUUGGUGGCCGCCGCGAGAACUUGUCUAAACCUUAUCAUCUAGAGGAAGGUGAAGUCGUAACA